Molecule: unclassified non-coding RNA, 204 nt
Filed under: uncultured fungus
Lineage: Eukaryota; Fungi
Description: sequence contains ITS1
Source: RNAcentral
UUUUGCUAUUUAAUUUUUGCUCAGACGUCAUUGAUUAACUGAGUUUUGGUGGACUCUGGCAGACGCUCGCCAGCCGGGGAGGCCGGCGGCGGGAGUGACCCGCGGGCCUGCCAAAGCAACAGAGGUAAGGUUCACAAUGGGUUGGAGGUUUGGGAUGUAAUCCCUUACUCUUUAAUGAUCCUUCCGCAGGUUCACCUACGGAAA